UCUGGCUCUGCCUUACUCUUCAGUUAUUAGGCUGCGGUGUGGAACCUGAAGAGACUAUGCAACCCAAAACUGCCACAGAGAGUUACACAGCUUUUUCUGUGUUCUGUUGCCUCCCAGCAACUAAUUUACAUCACAAUACAUUUGAAUCUGUAUUGCAUGCAUGACAAUCUUAUUAACAUCCUAUUCUCUUGUGUGCUACAGUAUCUUUCCUAUACAUGCUGGAGGAAAUAUUGCUCAUUUGGAUUUUUGAAGAGAAAGACAUUUUAAGGACACUGAAAGAGGUACAAGGCCAUGGAAGCUCACAAAUAGUGCUGGUGCAUGGAUCUAAGGAAGGCUGGCAGGCAGUAGUUCCCUCUUUGGAAAACCAGGGAAAAGGCAGCAAUCCAGGAACUGAAGGGAGACAUAUACAAGAGAUUCUGAGGGAAGAAGGAAGAACGGGGAAUCCACAGUUCAACUCAAUCCUACUCCACAGCCCUCUGGAGAACACAGAAAUAGCACUGUCACCCUGGGCCACGGAGCCUGACCUCAAAAGGGAGAUGAAAGAAUGAACAUGCUUAAGUUCUUAAGGUGCUGAAAUAAUACAACAUUAAGAUCUAACUAUGGAGGUACUUGUUCCUUUCCUUCCUGGGCAGAGGCAUGGAUGGUGUAAUUCUUUUAUUAUAA
This is a long non-coding RNA of Corapipo altera (White-ruffed manakin), 663 nucleotides long. RefSeq lists it as uncharacterized. The record is from RefSeq and is a predicted model, not a curated record. NCBI's taxonomy places the organism in Eukaryota, Metazoa, Chordata, Aves, Passeriformes, Pipridae. The transcript is spliced from 3 exons.